Molecule: non-coding RNA, 1489 nt
Organism: Schizosaccharomyces pombe (fission yeast)
Lineage: Eukaryota; Fungi; Ascomycota; Schizosaccharomycetes; Schizosaccharomycetales; Schizosaccharomycetaceae
Source: the annotation of a GenBank genome assembly
CAUGUUCAUUGUCUAUUGGGAAAGAAACAAUUAAAUUAGAGAGAUGUGAAGAAAAUGAUUUUGGAAAAAUGUCAAAAACGCUAUGCCGAUUCAGCUGAGAACCGGCAUAUCCAAAAAGUAAACAGAAAUAGUCAUUGGCAGACCAAAUACUGAAUGUUGUGUUGCUGGUAGUGACAAUAGCUUGAGAGGAGCAAUGAACUGGCCAAUUGCUGUGUUCUUUAUGAGGAAUAGGAACAUACGAUAUAUCGCUCAAAGACCUACGUUUUUCGGGAUUAAUGGUGAAAGGAGAUCGAUUUAGGCCGUCUCCCAAAGCUUCGGUGCUAAUAUAGUAGUUCCCGACAAGAGGUUCAUUGGCAUGCUGUAAAUCAUAGUCUGUCACAGAUUCCCACAAAUUUGCCCGCGAACUAGUAUCUAAAGGGAUAUAACCGUCAUUUGCAUCUCUUGACAGAACCGGACUAUAAGAAAACGAGUAAGGAGAACUACUAGAGAAAGUCAAAAGCUUAACUCGAGCAGCGUUACUUAAUAAGUUCUUAUUUUCCUUUUUAGGUAGAAACGAUGCUAACGGUCUCUCAAAACUAGCUCCAAAAGAUCUAAAUCCAUUAGCAAAAAGAUUAAAAAUAUAAAAAAAUAAAUAAUAUUUUCACUCCCAAUUUUAAAUUUAAAAAUUGGUAAUCUUAAAACACACCUAGCUCGUGUACGUUGAACCUGCUUGCUGGUCAAAUGUUUAAAGACGUCUGUUAAAUUAAAGGUUAGUGCUGUUUUUGGACACAAAAAGACAAACCUUGAGACAUCUAAAAAUCAAUUCCGUACACUAUCCAGAAAUAAUUUCAGGAGGAUAGGGUUCUGCUUGAGCUACUCAAUUUCUUCUGCAAAAUUUGUAGAUUUCAGAAACACUUCUCUUCAGACGAAAUCGCAAGCAAAAUAAAGAUUUUAGAUAACAUAGAAAUCAAAAAGCAUCAAAACCAAUUGUAAAUUGUAAGUUUCAACACGUCUAUAAAAAUGUUGGCAAUGUGCUGGGUUGUCUAUGUUGGUGAACUAAGUAGUAUGACAACUUAAGGAAGCCAAACAUUAAGGUUGAAGGGCUUAAAAAAUCAAUUUAAUUGACUUGAAUUUUUAAGGGAAAAUUGAUUUCUAUUUAGCAAUCAGUUCGAUAGUCAAGAGGAAGGAGUUUUUGAAAACACCUAACUUGCAUGAUACCUGGCUAAAUAGUGAUGAAGGCUACUUGCGGUUGAGGAAUUAGGCUUACUUUGGUGGCAGAGAUUACGCUACAAACAUUCAUGAAUAAAGUAUAAAAACAUAGAUUUAUAUUCUAAAUAUUAUAGAGUGGAAGAGGUUAAAAUUUUAUUGAUUAUGACAGAUGUAACUCAAUCAAUGGUUGUUUAAUAACGUUUGUACUGACGGGGCUUAAAAAUAAUAUAUGAAUACCGAUUCUACUGAAAUAAACAAAGCAAAUACAGAGGUGAAUUGAAAUUUACGAACGAGAACGAAU